ACUCUCAGUUUUUCAAGACAUCUCUCUCUCUCUCUCUAUAUAUAUAUAUAUACACACACACACACAUAUAUAUCUAUAUCUAUAUCUCAAUUGGGAUUUUUUUCUAACUCUUGAAGAUUUAUUUGGGUUUUAAUCUUUACGAUUUGGGGUCAUUUUGAGCUGCAAAAUGGAAAGGGAUUUCAUGGGUUUGAAUGUUAAGGAAGAAGCAGCCAUGGAAGCAGAAGGUUUCCAAAGCUUCAACAAUCAUCACUCCCCUGAAAUUAAGAAAUGGAUUGGUGGUUCUACUGGAACUCAUUCUGUUCAAUUAACCAUCUUUUAUGGUGGUAUGGUUAAUGUAUACGACGAUAUCUCCCCCGAGAAGGCUCAGGCUAUAAUGCUAUUGGCCGGAAACGGGAGUCGGGUUCAAGCUCAUAUGGCUACACCAAGGACUCCGGCAGGAGACGGGGCUAACAAAACCCUUUCGAGCCAAGGGUCUGUUGGUCCAGCGACUGGCAUUGGACCGCCACCGAAUGGGAUGAGUUCACUUGGACGAAUGAUCCAGUCAGCUGUUCCUCAGAUGCGUGGAGCGUCUUUGGCUCGGUUUCUAGAGAAGCGUAAAGAAAGAGUGAUGGCUUCGGCUCCUUACAACCUCGGUAAGAGCUCGUUCGGCAAACCCGAAUCCAGCAACGGACCAGAGAAAGACGAUAAGCAGUAACGACAAGUUUAUGUAUAACAAUUAUUUCAAAGUUUUGUAAUCGAUCUCUACAGGUUCAUCGGUUUUAGUCUCGUUUCUAGUAGAAACUUGUUUUUGGAGAUUAUUUGACGACGACCGUGUAGUUAUCGUUGUAACGUAUGAUCACGCAUUCGGAUAUAGUAUAGAUAGAAAAACUUCCAAGGACGUCUUUUAAUUUGAUUGUACUGCACUUCAUAUUUGUAAUAACAUUAUGAUGUCAUCUUAUAAGCUAUAACCUGAUUUCGCA
Cynara cardunculus var. scolymus (artichoke) is the source of this 959-nucleotide RNA transcript. It is a transcript of the gene named protein TIFY 7-like, with no coding region annotated. The transcript has 7 exons. NCBI's taxonomy places the organism in Eukaryota, Viridiplantae, Streptophyta, Magnoliopsida, Asterales, Asteraceae. The record is from RefSeq and is a predicted model, not a curated record.